Molecule: ribosomal RNA, 540 nt
Filed under: Echinodera merkli
Lineage: Eukaryota; Metazoa; Arthropoda; Insecta; Coleoptera; Curculionidae
Description: partial 16S ribosomal RNA
Rfam family: Bacterial large subunit ribosomal RNA
Source: RNAcentral
GUCUUUUUGAGGAUAAUUUAAAGUCUGACCUGCCCAAUGAUAAAUAAAUAUUAAAUGGCCGCGGUAUUUUGACCGUGCAAAGGUAGCAUAAUCAUUAGUUUUUUAAUUGAAAGCUUGAAUGAAAGGUUUGAUGAAAAAAAAGCUGUCUUUAUUUUAAUUUUUUAGAAAUUUAUUUUUAAGUUAAAAGGCUUAAAUAAGUAUUAAAGACGAGAAGACCCUAUAGAGUUUUAUAUUUCUAUAAAAUUAUUAUAUUUUAGGAUUUUUUAAUAAUUUUUUAGAAUUAUUUGAUUGGGGUGAUUGAAAAAUUAGUUAAACUUUUUUAUGUUUGAUUACAUUAAUUUAUGAAUUUUUGAUCCUUAUUAAAGAUUAGUAGAUAAAAUUACCUUAGGGAUAACAGCGUAAUUUUUUUUAGAGUUCUUAUCAAAAAAAAAGAUUGCGACCUCGAUGUUGGAUUAAAAUUUAUUAUUGGUGUAGAAGCUAAUAAGUUAGGUCUGUUCGACCUUUAAAUUUUUACAUGAUCUGAGUUUAAACCGGUGUGAG